AACACAACUUUGUAGCUUUUGUCUUGCCCAGUGUGCAUCUGUCUGGGGUGCCCUGUUGGGUCCUAAAGGCUCUCUUGGCUGUGUUUACAUCCAGAUAUAGUUGGACUGUCGUUAUUGGGUGCUGCCAUGGUGGUCUCUUCCUCCUCCUCCUUCUCUCUACAUGGCUUUCUACAACUGGUUGGAGAAAAGGAAUGGCAAUUUUCCCAAAGAGGCUCAGAAUCUUCCCAUCCCAACUCAACUAUACCAAUCCAAUUCAACUAUGAACAAUGAGAAGGACUGAAUAGAUGAGAUGAGUAAAUAUUAAUUUUUGGCCAGUAAAAUAGCUGGAAGACCAAAGGAAACAUUUCAUUUAUAAGCUAAAUCUAGAACCUGGAUUCUUCAUCACCUGAAAUAAAUAAAAUAUCAAUCAUUAUUGAUGGUGGAAGAAACAUGGCAUGGAAGAAACAUUUCCCAAGUAAUCAUCAUCAAUGCAUGUUCGAGAAAAGGCACCUUUCCAUGAGGGAGGUGGGUGGGGGGAUUUCAGCCCCUAAAAUUGGAUGUGGGCACUUUCUUUGUUGCUGUUCCUGCAAACUGAAUUACAAGAAAGCUGGAAUGUUUUAGCCACUUGGCGGCCAGAUGGACCAUUCUAGAUGUAUCAAAGUGAAAACCAGACAGUGAAUUACAUAGGAGAAGUCAAUGUUCUUCAAACA
Non-coding RNA from Pantherophis guttatus, 689 nucleotides. The record is from RefSeq and is a predicted model, not a curated record. NCBI's taxonomy places the organism in Eukaryota, Metazoa, Chordata, Lepidosauria, Squamata, Colubridae.